This is a long non-coding RNA of Ziziphus jujuba (common jujube), 1291 nucleotides long. RefSeq lists it as uncharacterized. The transcript has 2 exons. Lineage: Eukaryota; Viridiplantae; Streptophyta; Magnoliopsida; Rosales; Rhamnaceae. The record is from RefSeq and is a predicted model, not a curated record.
UUGAUCGUUAUUGACCGAGAUGGGUUAAACUUUGACUUUUUAAUUCAGAUAGAAUUCUAGACUGACCGAGGCACCAUUACGAAGUUCGCAUCGAUCCAAGUCUGUAGACUAGUAGCCCGUUGAAAAUGGAGUUACGGUUUGAAAGUUAUGAGCAAAACAAAGUUGAGGUAUGAACUGUUCAAGGGUACCAAAGUUAACUUUUUAUUCUUGCUUAAUUUAGGUUUGACUCUUGUAUAUUUUUUAUUUAUUUAUUAUUUUAUUAUUUUCUCUCUUUUUCCUUUUCUUUUUCCUUUGUUUUUUCUCCUCCUCCCACGCACGUGCUCUCUCUUCUCUUUCCCACACGAAAAGAACUUCUCUCUCUUCCCCCUCCCUCUCCCUCUUGGGUUUCUACCCGUUUCCUUUUCUCUGGCUGCCGGGAGGAUGCACGAAAUGGCCCGCAUGAAAGCCCAUGGCUGAGUGACGUCGAAGGCCAAAUUUCUGGCCGUUUGGCAGGCGGACGUGCUGGGAUCGGCCAUCCAAAAUCGGCCACUGAAGGUCCACCGGUUGACCCAUUUUCCUAUGGUUCUAGACCGUGAGACCGGUCUUUCCCCUAGUUUUCGACACCCUGGUUCAAAAAAUGAUCUCCAUCCACCUAAAUUCUAAGCUGUUUGUGAGAUACACGAAGGGAGAGCUUAGUCGAAACUUUCCGUUCAUUUUCCAGCCAAUCCUGACGGUUUUGAGCUCAACGAAGUGUUUUGUAGUUGUGGAUGUGAUUAGCACGCGGACGGAUUGUUAUGAGUGCACAGGUUGUAUACUUUCCAAUGGUUGCCAUCGGACUGAGGGCAGACAAGUUUAACAUUGGCCAUAGCUGUCCUCUUCCAUGACCGGGAUUGAGGGUUUUAGCAUCGGCGCUGCUGGAACGCCAAGGUGGCCUAGAUGUAGAUUUCUCUCUUUAACCUCUCCGUCAGGCAGUGCUGUGGGAUGCUGGGCGCCGUCGAGCACCACUAGUAUAUAGUAUGUGCAUCAAGUAUAUAUAUAUAUAUAUGUUAUAUUAUGUUAUGUUUGUUUGUAUUACAUCGCUUAGGGUGACGAUUCGAUGUGGUCUAUAAAGAGCUAGCCUCAUAACUAUGUUGUCGAUGAAUCCAGGAGAUCGAAGGAUCAAUCUAAGCAACCACCUCGGAUUGUAUUGAUAGCAAAGUACAGACGACAGUUGAAAUCAUGGAUUUCGUAGAAUAUUAGAGGGUAUCGUUUGUAACUUCGAUGCGAGUGUAUAUUUUAUAAUAUAUUUUGAAUUUUAAAAUAUUAUUUUACU